GGUCGCUUAGCUCAGUUGGUUAGAGCGUGGUGCUAAUAACGCCAAGGUCGCGAGUUCGACCCUCGUAGUGUCCA
This 74-nucleotide transfer RNA is filed under the name Blumeria graminis f. sp. tritici. It matches the Rfam family "tRNA". Rfam says of the family: Transfer RNA (tRNA) molecules are approximately 80 nucleotides in length. Their secondary structure includes four short double-helical elements and three loops (D, anti-codon, and T loops). The record is from Rfam by way of RNAcentral. RNAcentral also lists the same sequence under 1 other name. Lineage: Eukaryota; Fungi; Ascomycota; Leotiomycetes; Helotiales; Erysiphaceae.